UACAGGGGGCUCGGGCGUUAGUCGGAAUCACUGGGCUUAAAGGGUGCGUAGGCGGCCCGCCAAGUGCUUUGUGAAAUCCCACAGCUCAACUGUGGAACAGCAGGGCAAACUGGCGGGCUUGAAGCAGGUAGGGGCUGGAAGAACAGUAGGUGGAGCGGUGAAAUGCGUAGAUAUCUACUGGAAUGCCGAUGGGGAAGCCGUCCAGCUGGGCCUGUCUUGACGCUGAGGCACGAAAGCGUGGGGAGCAAACAGG
Molecule: ribosomal RNA, 253 nt
Filed under: uncultured bacterium
Lineage: Bacteria
Description: partial 16S ribosomal RNA
Rfam family: Bacterial small subunit ribosomal RNA
Source: RNAcentral